GAGUGGCGGACGGGUGAGUAAUGCUUGGGAACUUGCCUUUGCGAGGGGGAUAACAGUUGGAAACGACUGCUAAUACCGCAUAAUGUCUUCGGACCAAACGGGGCUUCGGCUCCGGCGCAAAGAGAGGCCCAAGUGAGAUUAGCUAGUUGGUAAGGUAACGGCUUACCAAGGCGACGAUCUCUAGCUGUUCUGAGAGGAAGAUCAGCCACACUGGGACUGAGACACGGCCCAGACUCCUACGGGAGGCAGCAGUGGGGAAUAUUGCACAAUGGGGGAAACCCUGAUGCAGCCAUGCCGCGUGUGUGAAGAAGGCCUUCGGGUUGUAAAGCACUUUCAGUUGUGAGGAAAAGUUAGUAGUUAAUACCUGCUAGCCGUGACGUUAACAACAGAAGAAGCACCGGCUAACUCCGUGCCAGCAGCCGCGGUAAUACGGAGGGUGCGAGCGUUAAUCGGAAUUACUGGGCGUAAAGCGCACGCAGGCGGUUUGUUAAGCUAGAUGUGAAAGCCCCGGGCUCAACCUGGGAUGGUCAUUUAGAACUGGCAGACUAGAGUCUUGGAGAGGGGAGUGGAAUUCCAGGUGUAGCGGUGAAAUGCGUAGAUAUCUGGAGGAACAUCAGUGGCGAAGGCGACUCCCUGGCCAAAGACUGACGCUCAUGUGCGAAAGUGUGGGUAGCGAACAGGAUUAGAUACCCUGGUAGUCCACACCGUAAACGCUGUCUACUAGCUGUGUGUGUCUUUAAGACGUGCGUAGCGAAGCUAACGCGCUAAGUAGACCGCCGGGGGAGUACGGCCGCAAGGUUAAAACUCAAAUGAAUUGACGGGGGCCCGCACAAGCGGUGGAGCAUGUGGUUUAAUUCGAUGCAACGCGAAAAACCUUACCUACACUUGACAUGCUGAGAAGUUACUAGAGAUAGUUUCGUGCCUUCGGGAACUCAGACACAGGUGCUGCAUGGCUGUCGUCAGCUCGUGUCGUGAAAUGUUGGGUUAAGUCCCGCAACGAGCGCAACCCUUGUCCUUAGUUGCCAGCCUUAAGUUGGGCACUCUUAAGAGACUGCCGGGUGACAAACCGGAAGGAAGGUGGGGGACAACCUCAAGUCCUCCUGGGCCCUUACCUGUG
Molecule: ribosomal RNA, 1117 nt
Filed under: Alteromonas macleodii
Lineage: Bacteria; Pseudomonadati; Pseudomonadota; Gammaproteobacteria; Alteromonadales; Alteromonadaceae
Description: bacterial SSU rRNA
Rfam family: Bacterial small subunit ribosomal RNA
Source: RNAcentral